GUGCCAGCAGGCGCGGUAAAUACGUAGGAGGCAAGCGUUGUUCGGAAUCAUUGGGCUAAAAGAGCGUGUAGGCGGAGUGGCAAGUGUCGGGUGAAAGCCCAUCGGCUCAACCGGGGAAUGGCCAGGCAAACUGCUGCUCUUGAGGCAGGUAGAGGUGAGUGGAACGGCUGGUGGAGCGGUGAAUGCGUAGAUAUCAGUUGGAACGCCGGUGGCGAAAGCGGCUCGCUGGACCUGUCCUGACGCUGAGACGCGAAAGCGUCGGUAGCGAACAGGAUUAGAUACCCUGGUAGUUCCACGCCGUAAACGAUGCGCACUAGGUAUGAGAGGUUCUGACGCCGAUCGCGCCGAAGGAAAACUACUAAGUGCGCCGCCUGGGGAGUAGGGCCGCAAGGCUAAAACUCAAAGGAAUUGACGGGGGCUCACACAAGCGGUGGAGCAUGUGGAUUAAUUCGAAGCAACGCGCAGAACCUUACCUGGGUUUGACAUGCACGGAUGCUCUCUUGGAAUCAGGAGUAGGCUGCCUUCGGGUGAAACGUGCACAGGUGCUGCAUGGCUGUCGUCAGCUCGUGCUGUGAAGUGUCGGGUUAAGUCCCUUAACGAGCGAAACCCCUAUCGUUAGUUACCAGCGGGUCAUGCCGGGGACUCUAGCGAGACUGCCGGUGUUAAACCGGAGGAAGGUGGGGAUGACGUCAAGUCCUCAUGGCCUUUAUGCCAGGGUUUCACACGUGCUACAAUGGGAUGGACAAAGCGACGCAAAACCGCGAGGUCAAGCAAAUCGCACAAACCAUCCCCCAGUUCGGAUUGGAGUCUGCAACCCGACUCCAUGAAGUUGGAAUCGCUAGUAAUCGCGUAUCAGCCAUGACGCGGUGAAUAUGUUCCUGAGCCUUGUACACACCGCCCGUCAAGUCAUGGGAGCUG
RNAcentral lists this ribosomal RNA (918 nucleotides) under uncultured archaeon. RNAcentral's name for it is "bacterial SSU rRNA". It matches the Rfam family "Bacterial small subunit ribosomal RNA", at positions 505 to 1413 of the family's 1533-position model. The record is from RNAcentral.